UACAGAGGUCCCAAGCGUUGUUCGGAUUCACUGGGCGUAAAGGGUGCGUAGGCGGUCGGGUAAGUCUGGCGUGAAAUCUCCAAGCCUAACUUGGAAACUGCGUUGGAUACUAUCCGGCUCGAGGAAUGGAGGGGAGACUGGAAUACUUGGUGUAGCAGUGAAAUGCGUAGAUAUCAAGUGGAACACCAGUGGCGAAGGCGGUUCUCUGGGCAUUACCUGACGCUGAGGAGCGAAAGUGUGGGGAGCGAACAGG
RNAcentral lists this ribosomal RNA (253 nucleotides) under uncultured bacterium. RNAcentral's name for it is "partial 16S ribosomal RNA". It matches the Rfam family "Bacterial small subunit ribosomal RNA", at positions 524 to 776 of the family's 1533-position model. The record is from RNAcentral.